Molecule: long non-coding RNA, 644 nt
Filed under: Brassica rapa (field mustard)
Lineage: Eukaryota; Viridiplantae; Streptophyta; Magnoliopsida; Brassicales; Brassicaceae
Description: long non-coding RNA (BRAP_LNC005160)
Source: RNAcentral
GCGGUCAGAGAAAAUGGUACAACUCCACAUCUUUUUCACUACAUUUGCUCUUACUGAUACAGAAGAUUGCUAUGAAUGGGUGAUUGAUGACAAGCCGAAAUCAAGAUUUAACACUAGUCAGGUUUAUAAGAAACUAAGGGGUCAGGAAGCAACAGUACCAUGGGCUCAAAGCGUUUGGAUUACAGGAGGCAUCCCUCGACAUAGUUUUCUCACUUGGCUGUUCGUCUUGAAUCGAUGCCCUACCAGAGACCGCCUCCGGAGCUGGGGUCUCCAGACGGAUGUUGUUUGCCUGCUCUGCAACCAGGAGCCUGAAACUAGAGAUCACUUAUACUUUCACUGCCCCUUCAGCUUUGCAAUAUGGGAGGAAAUUGGGAGGAGAUGUGACCUGCAACCGCUCCAGAACUGGGAUCAGACCAUGAUUCAAAUGCAAUCUCUUCAAGGAAACAAAUACAAGAAACGACUUACCCUUCUCUGUUGGCAAUCAUCGAUUUAUUGGAUUUGGCAGGAGAGGAAUAAGAGGCUUCACAACCAACAAUUUCGAUCACCAGAAGCUAUUAUUUCUCUCAUCACUCGUCAAAUUACGGAUCGGAUCUCUGCUUAUCGAUUGGACUCUCCUGCGAUCUCUUCGAUCAUCAUGCAACUUU